RNAcentral lists this ribosomal RNA (253 nucleotides) under uncultured bacterium. RNAcentral's name for it is "partial 16S ribosomal RNA". It matches the Rfam family "Bacterial small subunit ribosomal RNA", at positions 524 to 776 of the family's 1533-position model. The record is from RNAcentral.
UACGUAUGGUGCAAGCGUUAUCCGGAUUUACUGGGCGUAAAGGGAGCGCAGGCGGCGCGCCAAGUCUGAUGUGAAACCCCGGGGCUCAACCCCGGGCAUGCAUUGGAAACUGGCGGGCUGGAGUGCCGGAGAGGUAAGCGGAAUUCCUAGUGUAGCGGUGAAAUGCGUAGAUAUUAGGAGGAACACCAGUGGCGAAGGCGGCUUACUAGACGGCAACUGACGCUGAGGCUCGAAAGCGUGGGGAGCAAACAGG